This 494-nucleotide ribosomal RNA is filed under the name uncultured bacterium. RNAcentral describes it as "partial 16S ribosomal RNA". It matches the Rfam family "Bacterial small subunit ribosomal RNA", at positions 28 to 506 of the family's 1533-position model. The record is from RNAcentral.
GAUGAACGCUGGCGGCGUGCCUAAUACAUGCAAGUCGAGCGAACAGACGAGGAGCUUGCUCCUCUGACGUUAGCGGCGGACGGGUGAGUAACACGUGGAUAACCUACCUAUAAGACUGGGAUAACUUCGGGAAACCGGAGCUAAUACCGGAUAAUAUAUUGAACCGCAUGGUUCAAUAGUGAAAGACGGUUUUGCUGUCACUUAUAGAUGGAUCCGCGCCGCAUUAGCUAGUUGGUAAGGUAACGGCUUACCAAGGCAACGAUGCGUAGCCGACCUGAGAGGGUGAGGCCCCACCGGAGAAGGGACACGGGCCCGAGCCCCCUGGGGGGGGCAGGGGGGGGAACUUUCCCAAAGGGGGCAAGAUUGAGGGGGCAAAGCGCCGUGAGAGAGAAAGGGUUUUUGGUCUUAAAACCCUCUUUUUUGGGGAAAAAAAAAAUGUGAAAAAACCUACGCGCCUGUAGGGGGCCCAUAAAGAAAACCCCGCGUAAAUCUGU